GAUUUAAAAGUUUUAUUCAAGUAGGGAGAUCAUUCCACAGAGCCAGGGCACAAUAAGAAAAAGCUCUGUGACCUGCAGACUUUAUAUUCAACCUAGGAACACAUGGCAGUCCUGCACCCUGCGAACGCAAGGCCCGAGCCGGUACGUAGAGCUUAACCAUGUCAGCCAGGU
This is a long non-coding RNA of Thalassophryne amazonica, 171 nucleotides long. RefSeq lists it as uncharacterized. The transcript has 4 exons. NCBI's taxonomy places the organism in Eukaryota, Metazoa, Chordata, Actinopteri, Batrachoidiformes, Batrachoididae. The record is from RefSeq and is a predicted model, not a curated record.